RNAcentral lists this transfer RNA (76 nucleotides) under Prosthecobacter sp. Its description in RNAcentral is "tRNA-Ile". It matches the Rfam family "tRNA". Rfam says of the family: Transfer RNA (tRNA) molecules are approximately 80 nucleotides in length. Their secondary structure includes four short double-helical elements and three loops (D, anti-codon, and T loops). Further hydrogen bonds mediate the characteristic L-shaped molecular structure. tRNAs have two regions of fundamental functional importance: the anti-codon, which is responsible for specific mRNA codon recognition, and the 3' end, to which the tRNAs corresponding amino acid is attached (by aminoacyl-tRNA synthetases). tRNAs cope with the degeneracy of the genetic code in two manners: having more than one tRNA (with a specific anti-codon) for a particular amino acid; and 'wobble' base-pairing, i.e. permitting non-standard base-pairing at the 3rd anti-codon position. The record is from RNAcentral. Lineage: Bacteria; Pseudomonadati; Verrucomicrobiota; Verrucomicrobiia; Verrucomicrobiales; Verrucomicrobiaceae.
UGGUCUGUAGCUUAACAGUCAGAGCGUCGGGCUCAUAACCCGGAAGAUGCUGGUGCAAAUCCAGCCGGACCGACCA